GACGAACGCUGGCGGCGUGCUUAACACAUGCAAGUCGAACGGAAAGGCCCUGCUUUUGUGGGGUGCUCGAGUGGCGAACGGGUGAGUAACACGUGAGUAACCUGCCCUUGACUUUGGGAUAACUUCAGGAAACUGGGGCUAAUACCGGAUAGGAGCUCCUGCUGCAUGGGGGGGGUUGGAAAGUUUCGGCGGUUGGGGAUGGACUCGCGGCUUAUCAGCUUGUUGGUGGGGUAGUGGCUUACCAAGGCUUUGACGGGUAGCCGGCCUGAGAGGGUGACCGGCCACAUUGGGACUGAGAUACGGCCCAGACUCCUACGGGAGGCAGCAGUGGGGAAUAUUGCACAAUGGGCGGAAGCCUGAUGCAGCAACGCCGCGUGCGGGAUGACGUCCUUCGGGUUGUAAACCGCUUUCGCCUGUGACGAAGCGUGAGUGACGGUAAUGGGUAAAGAAGCACCGGCUAACUACGUG
Molecule: ribosomal RNA, 468 nt
Filed under: uncultured bacterium
Lineage: Bacteria
Description: partial 16S ribosomal RNA
Rfam family: Bacterial small subunit ribosomal RNA
Source: RNAcentral